Long non-coding RNA from Drosophila navojoa, 412 nucleotides. The record is from RefSeq and is a predicted model, not a curated record. Lineage: Eukaryota; Metazoa; Arthropoda; Insecta; Diptera; Drosophilidae.
AGCCAAACGGCGCUGGCAGCAGGAUAUUAACAAGAACGUUUUGCUUUCAUUAGGCGACCAACAAAAGCAGAGGACGACGACGGCGUUCGAGCCCUGCAGGCGGCGACAUGUGAGAAAUUUGGGAAGCGCGUGCGCUGCCUUUAAGUGGUUUACGCCAAGAGGAUUUCAUUCUCUGUGUCAGGCUGAUGACACCUGUGCACACACAUACACACACGUACACAAAACAAACAGAGACAAUGCCCCUGGCUGUCACCUUUCGCAAUAACUGAAUGCUACCUGGUCUGGCGUCUCGUUCUUGGCGUUGCCAACCGCAAGACUAACAAAAACACGACCGCAAAUUGACUUGGAUUUUGCCGUCGUUCAUCCUUUGUGAUGCUAAAAAAUAUUUAAGGAAAUUAAACGGAUUUCCCCA